RNAcentral lists this long non-coding RNA (817 nucleotides) under Bos indicus x Bos taurus (hybrid cattle). RNAcentral describes it as "lncRNA (ENSBIXG00000005835.1)". The record is from RNAcentral. Lineage: Eukaryota; Metazoa; Chordata; Mammalia; Artiodactyla; Bovidae.
AUGUGUCUGUUGCUUAAUUAUCCAUUGGCGCAUUUACAUGUGGCCAUGAAGAGGGCCACGGAUGACUGUGUAAAAAUGAUCAAUCAUUACUUCUUACAGUCCAGAGGAGGUGCCAAGAAAACAAGAAAAAAAAAAGAAACCAAAAAACCCACAACCCUACCCUUUCACACUGCUAUCUAUGUGGGAGACCUGAAAACUGAGAAACAAACGUCACCCCAAACAAUGAGUUGGAAAAUGAACUCAAAUUUAUCCUACGAAGCAGGUGACCAAACCCACCUCUUGGCUCAGUUACAUCCAGCUGUUUAUUGCCUAAGCAUUCUGGGGCUUGCUUCAUCACUUGGCUUUGCUGUGGAGCACUCCUGUAGAGCUUACUGAAUUGCAUAUUGAAGAUCCACCCAUUUGUUCUACUCGGAUAGUCAAGCCCAUCUGAACCCAAGUAUUGCCACGGUGACACUGUGCCCAGUGAUGGAAUUCUGAAUUAUACGAAAGGUUGGUGCUGCUCUGUCCAUCUAUUUCUGCAGAGGGAAGAUAGACAAGGGAAGGCUUUCUCUCUGCAAAUACUCAUGGUGUGACCCAUUUGAGAUACAAAAAGUCUCAAGAGGUUAUAAUUCAGAAAGCUGGAUGAAAUGUACAAGAUUGGGAGGGAGAAGGCCAGCGCAGACUGACGGCAUUCUCUUGAUGGGCAGGCGCCGUGUCUCAGGAAAGAAAGGAAAGCAGGAAGUGCUAUUUUGGCACCUUCUCUGUGCCACACUCUUGUGCAGGUUUUAAAUCUUUUCUACAAUAUCAGUGAAGAGUUAACACCUUAGUUUUGCAGGUG